UACAAACGACUCUCGGCAACGGAUAUCUCGGCUCACGCAACGAUGAAGAACGUAGCAAAAUGCGAUACUUGGUGUGAAUUGCAGAAUCCCGUGAACCAUCGAGUUUUUGAACGCAAGUUGCGCCCGAAGCCUUUUGGCCGAGGGCACGUCUGCCUGGGCGUCACGC
Molecule: ribosomal RNA, 166 nt
Filed under: Achillea schurii
Lineage: Eukaryota; Viridiplantae; Streptophyta; Magnoliopsida; Asterales; Asteraceae
Description: 5.8S ribosomal RNA
Rfam family: 5.8S ribosomal RNA
About the family: 5.8S ribosomal RNA (5.8S rRNA) is a component of the large subunit of the eukaryotic ribosome. It is transcribed by RNA polymerase I as part of the 45S precursor that also contains 18S and 28S rRNA. Functionally, it is thought that 5.8S rRNA may be involved in ribosome translocation.
Source: RNAcentral